AUUUUCCGGUUGAUCCUGCCGGAGGCUACUGCUAUUGGGAUUCGACUAAGCCAUGCGAGUCAAGGUGUCUUCGGACGCCGGCGUACGGCUCAGUAACACGUAGGUAACCUAACCUCAGGACUGAGAUAACCCCGGGAAACUGGGGCUAAUAUUAGAUAGAUAAAAGGUACUGGAAUGUUCUUUUAUCCAAAGCUUUUGCGCCUGAGGAUGGGCCUGCGUCCGAUUAGGUUGUUGGUGGGGUAAUGGCCCACCAAGCCUACGAUCGGUACGGGCAGUGAGAGCUGAAGCCCGGAGUUGGGGACUGAGACAAGGCCCCAGGCCCUACGGGGCGCAGCAGGCGCGAAACCUCUGCAAUGCGGGAAACCGUGACAGGGGGAUCCCAAGUGCUCAUGCAUUGCAUGGGCUGUUCCUUGGUCUAAGUAACCAGAGGAGUAAGGGCUGGGCAAGACCGGUGCCAGCCGCCGCGGUAAUACCGGCAGCUCAAGUGGUAGCCGCGAUUAUUGGGCCUAAAGCGUUCGUAGCCGGAUAAGUAAGUCUUUGGUUAAAUCCUGCAACUUAACUGUGGGAAAUCUAGGGAUACUGCUUGUCUUGAGACCGGGAGAGGUUAGAGGUACUCCUAGGGUAGGGGUGAAAUCCUGUAAUCCUAGGGGGACCACCUGUGGCGAAGGCGUCUAACUGGAACGGGUCUGACGGUGAGGGACGAAACCUAGGGGAGCGAGCCGGAUUAGAUACCCGGGUAGUCCUAGGCGUAAAUGAUGCGAGUGAAGUGUGGGGGCAUCUACGAGAUGGCCCUGUGCUGUAGGGUAGCCGUUAAACUCGCCGCCUGGGGAGUACGGUCGCAAGGCUGAAACUUAAAGGAAUUGGCGGGGGAGCACCACACAGAGGUGGAGGCUGCGGUUCAAUUGGAUUCAACGCCGGAAAU
This 922-nucleotide ribosomal RNA is filed under the name uncultured euryarchaeote. RNAcentral describes it as "bacterial SSU rRNA". It matches the Rfam family "Archaeal small subunit ribosomal RNA", at positions 1 to 925 of the family's 1478-position model. Lineage: Archaea; Methanobacteriati; Methanobacteriota. The record is from RNAcentral.